Ictalurus punctatus (channel catfish) is the source of this 1026-nucleotide long non-coding RNA. RefSeq lists it as uncharacterized. The record is from RefSeq and is a predicted model, not a curated record. NCBI's taxonomy places the organism in Eukaryota, Metazoa, Chordata, Actinopteri, Siluriformes, Ictaluridae. The transcript has 5 exons.
UUUGUUAUAUAAGGUGUUGGCUUUAUACUCCGUUAUAGGCAACUUUGCAUAAUAACAUUAGUGCUUUUUUUCCCUACAGUGAAAUGAUCGAAUGCUUUCUUCAGCUUUGAGUAUUGCUGAAGACUCAAAGUGCCGUGUGGUGGUGUUCUCGGGUGCAGGGAAAAUCUUCACUGCAGUUUAUUUUGGAUACAGGCAGAGGAAGCUCAGCGAAAGCUUAAGAGACAGAAUGGAGAGGACCCAGCCCUGCCUCCAUUCUGCCCACUGUUUGCCAGCUUGGGAAACAUUCUGCAGUGUGACGUGCCGCUUGGCAUGUUGGGAGCUGUGCUGCAGUGGGCUAUGGAGCCCAGUGGAGGACACUGGUCUGAGUCCAUGCUGCAGAGGGUAAAUGUUUGGAUGUUUUGUUAAAAUGACAUGAUAGUGUAGUAAAUUCAACAAAAUUCCACUUGCUAUGCUGUGUUCAUGAGCAUCACUUUUUAAUGACUGAGUAGUGUUCACAAUUCUGUAUGUGUGUGUUGCUACAGGUGCUGCACUUGUUAGGCAUGGCUCUGCUGGAGGAGCAGCAACAGCUAGAGAACAUUGGGGAUGACGAUGAAGUUACUUUCAACUUCACCCUGAAAAUCUCCCAUGGUGGUUAGCAUUAAAACGAUGCGCGAGUGCACAGCUGCUGCACCUCCCUGUGAAGGAACAGGGCACUGUCACAAGGAGACUGUGUGGGACAAAGACAAAGCAUAGAGAAAAAGGAAAGCUGAACUGUGCUGGAAAAAGACCAUGGCUCAAACAUUAUAGAGCCAGAGUCAUUUUAUCAAUAAGUACAUAGAUCUGCUCACGCAGGAUUCAGAGCAUCUGGACGCCUCAGCCUCUACAUCAGCAGAGCAUAGGUACCUAAGCAUGCUCGUAGUGACGCAGUGUUCUUAAUAAUUCAACUUGUAUUGUAUUCUCAAUAUCCAGUCAGUACAUUUAUGUCAGUAAAUGCAUGCAUCAACACUUCAUUGACUUUGCUGAGCAGUUGUCUGUUCUUUGUCCUAA